AUUGAACGCUGGCGGCAGGCCUAACACAUGCAAGUCGAACGGUAACAGGAAACAGCUUGCUGUUUCGCUGACGAGUGGCGGACGGGUGAGUAAUGUCUGGGAAACUGCCUGAUGGAGGGGAAUAACUACUGGAAACGGUAGCUAAUACCGCAUAACGUCGCAAGACCAAAGAGGGGGACCUUCGGGCCUCUUGCCAUCGGAUGUGCCCAGAUGGGAUUAGCUAGUAGGUGGGGUAACGGCUCACCUAGGCGACGAUCCCUAGCUGGUCUGAGAGGAUGACCAGCCAAACUGGAACUGAGACACGGUCCAGACUCCUACGGGAGGCAGCAGUGGGGAAUAUUGCACAAUGGGCGCAAGCCUGAUGCAGCCAUGCCGCGUGUAUGAAGAAGGCCUUCGGGUUGUAAAGUACUUUCAGCGGGGAGGAAGGGAGUAAAGUUAAUACCUUUGCUCAUUGACGUUACCCGCAGAAGAAGCACCGGCUAACUCCGUGCCAGCAGCCGCCGUAA
This 506-nucleotide ribosomal RNA is filed under the name uncultured bacterium. Its description in RNAcentral is "partial 16S ribosomal RNA". It matches the Rfam family "Bacterial small subunit ribosomal RNA", at positions 30 to 523 of the family's 1533-position model. The record is from RNAcentral.